This 253-nucleotide ribosomal RNA is filed under the name uncultured bacterium. RNAcentral describes it as "partial 16S ribosomal RNA". It matches the Rfam family "Bacterial small subunit ribosomal RNA", at positions 524 to 776 of the family's 1533-position model. The record is from RNAcentral.
GACGUAGGGACCGAGCGUUGUCCGGAUUUGUUGGGCGUAAAGCGCGCGCAGGCGGCCGUGCAAGUCGGAUGUGAAAAUCCGGAGCCCAACUCCGGACCUGCAUUCGAAACUGCACGGCUAGAGGCAGGUAGGGGAGAGGGGAAUUCCCGGUGUAGCGGUGAAAUGCGCAGAUAUCGGGAGGAACACCGGUGGCGAAGGCGGCAUUCUGGACCGACAUUGACGCUGAGGAGCGAAAGCCAGGGGAGCAAACGGG